CAGCCGCCGCGGUAAUACGUAGGGGGCGAGCGUUGUCCGGAAUUAUUGGGCGUAAAGCGCGCGCAGGCGGUCCCUUAAGUCUGAUGUGAAAGCCCACGGCUCAACCGUGGAGGGUCAUUGGAAACUGGGGGACUUGAGUGCAGAAGAGGAGAGCGGAAUUCCACGUGUAGCGGUGAAAUGCGUAGAGAUGUGGAGGAACACCAGUGGCGAAGGCGGCUCUCUGGUCUGUAACUGACGCUGAGGCGCGAAAGCGUGGGGAGCAAACAGGAUUAGAUACCCUGGUAGUCCACGCCGUAAACGAUGAGUGCUAAGUGUUAGAGGGGUUAAACCCUUUAGUGCUGGAGCUAACGCGUUAAGCACUCCGCCUGGGGAGUACGGCCGCAAGGCUGAAACUUAAAGGAAUUGGCGGG
RNAcentral lists this ribosomal RNA (410 nucleotides) under uncultured microorganism. Its description in RNAcentral is "bacterial SSU rRNA". It matches the Rfam family "Bacterial small subunit ribosomal RNA", at positions 509 to 917 of the family's 1533-position model. The record is from RNAcentral.